ACUCCUACGGGAGGCAGCAGUGGGGAAUAUUGCACAAUGGGGAAACCCUGAUGAGCCAUGCCGCGUGUGUGAAGAAGGCCUUCGGGCUUGUGAACACUUUCAGUAGGGAGGAAGGUAGUGUAGUUAACACCUGCAUUAUUUGACGUUACCUACAGAAGAAGCACCGGCUAACUCCGUGCCAGCAGCCGCGGUAAUACGGAGGGUGCGAGCGUUAAUCGGAAUUACUGGGCGUAAAGCGCAUGCAGGCGGCCUGUU
Molecule: ribosomal RNA, 255 nt
Filed under: uncultured bacterium
Lineage: Bacteria
Description: partial 16S ribosomal RNA
Rfam family: Bacterial small subunit ribosomal RNA
Source: RNAcentral